GUUUAAGACCUGCUUGCGUGGCUCCUGCUGUGGCUCUGCGCUUGCUGAAAUCCUGUUUGCACCACUCUUUAUCUAAAAGUUUGAGUAUUUUUAACUUGAGCCUUGGCUCUCCGUGUGGUGAAGACACGCUGAGCUCUCAGCCCUGCCAGAGACAAGCAACAGUACCUUUUUAAAUAUGGAAAUAAGAGAAAAAAAGACAACAUCAAGACUCAUGGAGCUCGUCAGAAACAUCCUCCCAUGUCAGACUGCUAAGGCAGAAAUGUGUGCUGUCUCCUGUGGGACAUCUCAAGACAACGGACUCUUUUUAGGCAGGAAUACAGAACAGACAAUGAUGACGUCUGAGAAUAGCAUCGAGUCCUGGGAUUUGAAGAGGUGUCUGAACUCUCAUUCACACAGCGUGCCAGGCAUGACGAUGAUGUGGGAAGUGACCACAGUGUACGAGACUCC
This is a long non-coding RNA of Gasterosteus aculeatus aculeatus (three-spined stickleback), 447 nucleotides long. Lineage: Eukaryota; Metazoa; Chordata; Actinopteri; Perciformes; Gasterosteidae. The record is from Ensembl.